Molecule: ribosomal RNA, 1141 nt
Filed under: uncultured organism
Description: bacterial SSU rRNA
Rfam family: Bacterial small subunit ribosomal RNA
Source: RNAcentral
CUUACACAUGCAAGUCGAGGGGUAACAGUUCCGGGUAACUGGAAGCUGACGACCGGCGCACGGGUGAGUAAUGCGUAUGCAACCUGCCCUUAACUGGAGGAUAGCUCCCGGAAACGGGAAUUAAUACUCCAUAAUGUUCUAAAAUCACAUGGUUUAAGAAUUAAAGCUCCGGCGGUUAAGGAUGGGCAUAUGUGACAUUAGUUUGUUGGUGAGGUAACGGCUCACCAAGACUACGAUGUCUAGGGGGUCUGAGAGGAUGAUCCCCACACUGGUACUGAGACACGGACCAGACUCCUACGGGAGGCAGCAGUGAGGAAUAUUGGUCAAUGGGCGCAAGCCUGAACCAGCCAUGCCGCGUGCAGGAUGACUGCCCUACGGGUUGUAAACUGCUUUUGUACGAGAAGAACCUUCCGAACGUGUUCGGGACUGACGGUAUCGUACGAAUAAGGAUCGGCUAACUCCGUGCCAGCAGCCGCGGUAAUACGGAGGAUCCAAGCGUUAUCCGGAUUCAUUGGGUUUAAAGGGUGCGCAGGCGGAAUAGUAAGUCAGUGGUGAAAUCCUGCAGCUUAACUGUAGAAUUGCCAUUGAUACUGCUAUUCUUGAGUAUAGUUGAGGUGGGCGGAAUGUGUAAUGUAGCGGUGAAAUGCAUAGAUAUUACACAGAACGCCAAUUGCGAAGGCAGCUCACUAAACUAUAACCGACGCUGAGGCACGAAAGCGUGGGGAGCGAACAGGAUUAGAUACCCUGGUAGUCCACGCUGUAAACGAUGAUCACUAGCUGUUGGCAAUACACAGUCAGCGGCUGAGCGAAAGCGUUAAGUGAUCCACAUGGGGAGUACGUCCGCAAGAAUGAAACUCAAAGGAAUUGACGGGGGCCCGCACAAGCGGUGGAACAUGUGGUUUAAUUCGAUGCUACGCGAGGAACCUUACCUGGGCUUAAAUGCAGGACGACGUUCCGGGAAACUGGAACUCCCUUCGGGGCGGACUGCACGGUGCUGCAUGGCUGUCGUCAGCUCGUGCCUUGAGGUGUCGGGUUAAGUCCCAUAACGAGCGCAACCCCUAUUGUUAGUUGCCAGCGAGUAAUGUCGGGGACUCUAACAAAACUGCCCGUGUAAGCGGGAGGAAGGUGGGGAUGACGUCAA